GUCUGGUAUUUUUGAUGGUCUAAAAUCCCCGAUUCUUCAAAAACAAUCAUAAAAAUUCCAAAAGACUCAACUAGAUGCCAUGCUUGCCUGUCUCCAUGCACUAAUGAGAGGAUCUCCUAAGGUUUCCGACGUUCUUCCUGCCCUGCCUGGUUCAAGGCCACCUGAAAACUAUACACCGAGCCCAGGCAGAAGCACCUGGAUUUCCACUGAGGUCUCCAAGAUGGUCAAUGGCGAACAUUUUCUACACUUUAAUGGCAGCAUAGCAAAGAAGACGUCUAAGGAAUUUUACUCAUCAGUGUGGAGUAAUGGGCAGGCGUAUUGAAAUGGUCUCUGGAGUAAUGGGCAGGCAUAUUGAAAUGGUC
Molecule: long non-coding RNA, 362 nt
Filed under: Pan troglodytes (chimpanzee)
Lineage: Eukaryota; Metazoa; Chordata; Mammalia; Primates; Hominidae
Description: lncRNA (ENSPTRG00000052924.1)
Source: RNAcentral